AAAAGUUUUUUAUUUUUCAAGUUUUAAAAUUUUUAAUAUAUAUGUGUAUAUAUACACACACUCUUUGAUGAAUGACAUUUGUGAUAGUCAUGUAUGUCAUAUGGCCGCUUUUAAAUUUAAUUAGUCUAAAAUUAUAUUGUGUAGAGUUUAAUUAAAAUAUAAGAGACUUGGCUAGAGAAUAGAGGGUUAGAAAUAGCAGGGUGGAUGAUGGGUAAUGGAGAAUUUAGAGUCAUCUUCUACUCGUAGCAGUGGAGUGAAGUGGAAAGUCAUGUUUGGGAUUACUUGUUGGAUGCUUUGGAAAAGAAAGAAUAAGGUUGUGUUUGAGGGAGAUGCUUAUGGGGUUGAGGGGUUGGUGCAAUGUCUAUUUCCUUUGAUAAGUCAGCUGCUAUAACCAUUUGUCAUGGGACGGGAGUUCUAACCCUGUGCGGCACCUAGGUCCUUCUUGGCCAGGGCUCCUAGGCCAACCUUUCCCCUAUCUAGCUAGCUCGCUCAAGCCUAAAUAUUAAGCAUCUUUGAGGUUUCUUGCACAUACCUGCACAGAUUCACAAUUAUUAGCUCCAUAGAGUAAGAGUUAACUUGUGACGAUCUUACCAAUUACCAAUUACCAAUUACCAAUAAUUGGAAGCUUAAGUUUUUCUAGAUCCGCCAAUAAGUUUAAGGCUUCUUACGGAGCAUGAUUGUGUUGGAGUUUCUUAUUGAGGAUAGUCUAUGCUUAGUUUGUUUUUUAUUCUUUCAUAAAUAUACAUGUCUUUAUAUAAAUGUAAUUUAGAUAUAUUAAUUUAAUUAAUAAAAUUUUGAAGUCGGAUAAAAAUACUCACAUGGUAUUGAACUAAAUAUAUUUUCUUAUUUUGCAUAUUUUUACAUUAUUUUCAAUCAAUGACAAUUUUACUCUGAUAUGUUGUCUGUAAUACAUAUAUAUAUAUAUAUAGAAUUUAUUAUUGUUAUUAUUAUUACAGAAGCAUUAG
Molecule: unclassified non-coding RNA, 965 nt
Filed under: Hevea brasiliensis (rubber tree)
Lineage: Eukaryota; Viridiplantae; Streptophyta; Magnoliopsida; Malpighiales; Euphorbiaceae
Source: RNAcentral